RNAcentral lists this non-coding RNA (86 nucleotides) under Pseudomonas citronellolis. The record is from RNAcentral. Lineage: Bacteria; Pseudomonadati; Pseudomonadota; Gammaproteobacteria; Pseudomonadales; Pseudomonadaceae.
UCAAUGGCGGGCCGUGCGUGGGGCACCUACGGGUGCGCCGGGUUCCUACGUCCCCGGUUUUCCAGCCCGCGCACGGUUCGCCUCCC